ACAUGUACGGAAUCCUUUAGAGAUAGAGGAGUGCUCGAAAGAGAGCCGUAACACAGGUGCUGCAUGGCUGUCGUCAGCUCGUGUCGUGAGAUGUUGGGUUAAGUCCCGCAACGAGCGCAACCCUUGUCAUUAGUUGCUACAUUCAGUUGGGGCACUCUAAUGAGACUGCCGGUGACAAACCGGAGGAAGGUGGGGAUGACGUCAAGUCCUCAUGGCCCUUAUGGGUGGGGCUACACACGUCAUACAAUGGAUGGUACAAAGGGUCGCCAACCCGCGAGGGGGAGCCAAUCCCAUAAAGCCAUUCGUAGUCCGGAUCGCAGUCUGCAACUCGACAGCGUGAAGUCGGAAUCGCUAGUAAUCGUGGAUCAGAAUGUCACGGUGAAUACGUUCCCGGGUCUU
RNAcentral lists this ribosomal RNA (399 nucleotides) under uncultured Acidovorax sp. RNAcentral's name for it is "bacterial SSU rRNA". It matches the Rfam family "Bacterial small subunit ribosomal RNA", at positions 984 to 1382 of the family's 1533-position model. Lineage: Bacteria; Pseudomonadati; Pseudomonadota; Betaproteobacteria; Burkholderiales; Comamonadaceae. The record is from RNAcentral.